Molecule: long non-coding RNA, 759 nt
Organism: Triticum dicoccoides
Lineage: Eukaryota; Viridiplantae; Streptophyta; Magnoliopsida; Poales; Poaceae
Exons: 3
Source: RefSeq, a predicted model, not a curated record
AGAAACCUAGCCACGCACGCUUCUUCCCCCUCUGUCGAUCCCCUCUCCGCGCCUCCUCCUCUGCCGUGUCGCUACGCCGCCGCACGCUUCUCCCCCCCUCCUCCGCGCCUCCUCCUCUGCCGGUCGCUGCGCCGCCGGCUCAGCCGCUUCUCCUGUGCCUUCUCCUCCCCGCUCCUCACUGAGUCAUCGACCAGAUCGGCGUCCAUGUUCAGCAGCGGCGGCGGCAUCUUCAGCGGAGGAGGCGGGUGGUCGUGGCGGCGGCAUCUUCAGCGGCGUCACCGGAAGGAGGGGGAGCAGCCGUGCCCGGACGAGGUCGUCCCCAACUCCUGCAUCUAGUCGUCGACCUUACCAACACUGCAGUCGCCGCUGCUGGUCGAGGUCGCCCAGGUUGACACCGGCCCCGCCGGACUGCAUGUUAUCCUGCCCGACAUGGUAUUUGGCAAUAUUGGCUCUUGGGCUGCCCAAUUGAUCACUGAAGCUGGUGGCAAGGUGGUCUCCAUCAGAGAUGUCACAGGGGCUGUCAAGAACUCUAAUGGCAUUGACAUAGCCAAGCUGAUGAAGCACUCGGCAGAGAACCGCGGGAUCAAGGGCUUUGACGGAGGCGACGUCAUCGACCCGACCUCGCUGCUCACGGAAGAGUGCGACGUGCUCAUCCCGGCAGCUCUGGGAGGAGUCAUAAACAAGGACAAUGCUGAUGCCAUCAAAGCAAAGUACAUCAUUGAGGCUGUUAACCACCCAACAGACCCCGAGGCCAACGAG